Long non-coding RNA from Manis pentadactyla (Chinese pangolin), 1539 nucleotides. RefSeq lists it as uncharacterized. The transcript has 3 exons. The record is from RefSeq and is a predicted model, not a curated record. Lineage: Eukaryota; Metazoa; Chordata; Mammalia; Pholidota; Manidae.
UUUCUUUAGAGCAUUUUAAAUUUAUAGAUCCUGUGGAACACUGCCUGUUUUUGCGAAUGAAAGGGUCAGAAGCAGUUAUUUGUUACAUUCAAGCCCCCAGCAGACAGCACUGGCAUCCAAGGCAUAUUUGUAUUUCCCAAGAAGCUUUGCACUAGGUUUUAUUUUCAACUUUAAGCUCACUGUGUCUCUGCCCCUGUGGGUUACUCAAGAUGCAGAAGGAGGUCUCCACCCUGACGCCACAGGGGAUCCUGAGACAAGUGACUUAUCUCACAUGUCAAAGGGCAGAGCUAAAAGCAGGACUUGACUUCCCAACUGGAGAAACUGUUUUGGACCAGCUGCAUCGCAACCAUGGCCCCCGUGCAGGAGCAGCUACCGUGUGAGGAGCCUGAGUACCUAGCUCAAGGGCAGGAACUGGGCCCUGUUCCUUGUUUCCCCCACAGCCUUAUACGGCACACAGAAGGCAGAUAAUCAGUAAGGAGCCUGCUUUACAGUUUCAACGGGCAAAGUGGAACCUGACUAUCUCCAUGUUAGAUGCAGGCUGGAGCUGAAGAGGAUUGAAAACAUCCCUGGCAGCUCUCAGAAAAGCCUGGUCUGGGGACAUAGGAAGAAGGACUUAUUUCGGAAUGGAAGAAUUUCAGAGACUUCUUUUCCAACCGGAUAUUGAGCUGUAAGCUCAGUGGUGUUCGUGUUAAAUGUCUUAUCCGUCUCAAUGUGUACAUUAUUACUUCUGGCAAAUAAAGAAAAAUUAUGACUUCACAAAGAAACCAGUGAGUGUAAUCAUAUCCAUUCAUCUCUCUCCUUUUCUAUGGGAAAAAACUGGCCUGUAUAUCGAACUUUGGUCAGAAGGAAAUGUUUAUAUAAAUUUGUCCUUAAGCAAGUACUUGGGCACGUGUGUGUUCUUUGUUAAGGGAAGUGGCGUCCCAGCUCACUUGACUUACCUUUGAAGUCUCUCAGCCAGGCCUGUCCCUGGCGUCUCAGGUUCCGCUGUGGCCCUGGGCUCCGGCAGGCUCACCUCUCUAGGGCCGAGCGCCACAGUGUUAGCCCCAUGCCCAGAUCCUGGAAGGGUGGAUCUCAGAGGCUAUGAAAUCAGGUAUUAAAUCAAAUUGCUUGUUCUUUCCAUUGAUAUUUACCCUUACCUGAAAGGGGGUUUUGUUUCUCCAUUUGUUUUUCCUGAGGCCAUCAGCCUCCUCUGCGGGGCCUGGGCUUGUGGGGUGACAGGGCUUGGGGCUUCAGCUUCACACCAACCUAGAGUGUCUCCAAUUAUCUGAAGCUUGUUGAAACAUCCUCAAAAUUAAAGUAACCUCAGUUCACUUAGGCUUAAUAAAUCAUCACUCUGCACUGUAGGGAGCAGAAAGGAGAACACUGAGAAGUCAGGAAGAUUGGCGCCCUUGGAGAUUAUUUUGGGCUGGUUCAUCACCACCUUUCUUUUUGCCAUGGCAGGACUGCAGUGCUGAUUUGGUUAAAGAAAGAUGUUUUUUUUCUGAAUCACAACAUCAACCAGCCCUCCCUUUAUAUUUACUCCACAGCCCUUCAUUGUCU